GUCUAUGGCGAUACCACCCUGAAUGCUCCUGAUCUCUUCUGAUCUUGGAAGCUAAGCAGGAUAGGCUCUGGUUAGUACUUCAGUGGGAGAAAUAUAGUAUAUUAUUGUUACCAUAGUCA
Molecule: ribosomal RNA, 119 nt
Organism: Fukomys damarensis (Damara mole-rat)
Lineage: Eukaryota; Metazoa; Chordata; Mammalia; Rodentia; Bathyergidae
Source: Ensembl